AAUAACUCAUUUUUCAUUUUUCCUUGUCUAACGUUUAACCAUUUGUCUUAUUUAAAAUUUUUUACGAAUUAAUAUUUUUAUUGUUAUUAGAUGAUAAAAUAUAAAUAGUACUUUAAUUUUUUUUAAAUUUUUUAUAAAUUUUUUAAAUAAGACAAAUGGUUAAAUAUUGGAUACGGAUAAACUGAAA
This 187-nucleotide microRNA precursor is filed under the name Oryza brachyantha (malo sina). RNAcentral describes it as "MIR812 microRNA precursor family". It matches the Rfam family "MIR812 microRNA precursor family". Lineage: Eukaryota; Viridiplantae; Streptophyta; Magnoliopsida; Poales; Poaceae. The record is from Rfam by way of RNAcentral.